RNAcentral lists this ribosomal RNA (1448 nucleotides) under uncultured organism. RNAcentral's name for it is "SSU rRNA". It matches the Rfam family "Bacterial small subunit ribosomal RNA". The record is from RNAcentral.
GAACGCUAGCUACAGGCUUAACACAUGCAAGUCGAGGGGCAGCAUGGUCUUAGCUUGCUAAGGCCGAUGGCGACCGGCGCACGGGUGAGUAACACGUAUCCAACCUGCCGUCUACUCUUGGACAGCCUUCUGAAAGGAAGAUUAAUACAAGAUGGCAUCAUGAGUCCGCAUGUUCACAUGAUUAAAGGUAUUCCGGUAGACGAUGGGGAUGCGUUCCAUUAGAUAGUAGGCGGGGUAACGGCCCACCUAGUCUUCGAUGGAUAGGGGUUCUGAGAGGAAGGUCCCCCACAUUGGAACUGAGACACGGUCCAAACUCCUACGGGAGGCAGCAGUGAGGAAUAUUGGUCAAUGGGCGAGAGCCUGAACCAGCCAAGUAGCGUGAAGGAUGACUGCCCUAUGGGUUGUAAACUUCUUUUAUAAAGGAAUAAAGUCGGGUAUGGAUACCCGUUUGCAUGUACUUUAUGAAUAAGGAUCGGCUAACUCCGUGCCAGCAGCCGCGGUAAUACGGAGGAUCCGAGCGUUAUCCGGAUUUAUUGGGUUUAAAGGGAGCGUAGAUGGAUGUUUAAGUCAGUUGUGAAAGUUUGCGGCUCAACCGUAAAAUUGCAGUUGAUACUGGAUAUCUUGAGUGCAGUUGAGGCAGGCGGAAUUCGUGGUGUAGCGGUGAAAUGCUUAGAUAUCACGAAGAACUCCGAUUGCGAAGGCAGCCUGCUAAGCUGCAACUGACAUUGAGGCUCGAAAGUGUGGGUAUCAAACAGGAUUAGAUACCCUGGUAGUCCACACGGUAAACGAUGAAUACUCGCUGUUUGCGAUAUACAGCAAGCGGCCAAGCGAAAGCGUUAAGUAUUCCACCUGGGGAGUACGCCGGCAACGGUGAAACUCAAAGGAAUUGACGGGGGCCCGCACAAGCGGAGGAACAUGUGGUUUAAUUCGAUGAUACGCGAGGAACCUUACCCGGGCUUAAAUUGCAGAUGAAUUACGGUGAAAGCCGUAAGCCGCAAGGCAUCUGUGAAGGUGCUGCAUGGUUGUCGUCAGCUCGUGCCGUGAGGUGUCGGCUUAAGUGCCAUAACGAGCGCAACCCUUGUUGUCAGUUACUAACAGGUUCUGCUGAGGACUCUGACAAGACUGCCAUCGUAAGAUGUGAGGAAGGUGGGGAUGACGUCAAAUCAGCACGGCCCUUACGUCCGGGGCUACACACGUGUUACAAUGGGGGGUACAGAGGGCCGCUACCACGCGAGUGGAUGCCAAUCCCCAAAACCUCUCUCAGUUCGGACUGGAGUCUGCAACCCGACUCCACGAAGCUGGAUUCGCUAGUAAUCGCGCAUCAGCCACGGCGCGGUGAAUACGUUCCCGGGCCUUGUACACACCGCCCGUCAAGCCAUGGGAGCCGGGGGUACCUGAAGUGCGUAACCGCGAGGAGCGCCCUAGGGUAAAACUGGUGACUGGGGCUA